GGAUCAGCAGUUUUGGCUACCCUAUAGAGGCAUGUGCGAAGCAUCACAUCACAAGCUGGGUAUGCAACUCUGUCCUGAUGUACUUUUCUUCUACAAGUUUGGGCAUAUUCUAGAUCCCCAAACUCACAAAGAAUUCACAUUUCCAUUCGCAACAAAAUGGACAGGACGUGGUGCAAAUUACUAUAAAAAUCCAAGGCAUUCCGUCCAGAGCUUCCGGCUACUUCUUGACCACAUCCAACAUGAUCAAUUUGUAUGGAAACCAUACCGUUAACUUAAGUAUGACACUCCAGAGGACUUUUGGUUAUGGACUGCAACCACAUAUCUUAUCUGUUUUGACAAAGUAGAAUGACAUUCAACAGAUAGGGUCAAACUCCAGUUUGGUUUGCCCCAAGAUAUACCAGCUCCCCCUAGGGACAUGCGAUCGUACCACCAUGUAGACAAGCGAACUAAGCAAUGGAACGUCUCAUAUCAAUCAUUAUGGCCAGAUGAGUACGAACAUUGCUUGAAUCGACUUCAAUUGGUUUUAGAUGGCAUGCCGCACCCCACGUGGAGAAGACCAACCGCCGAAUAUAUUCAAUGGUUUAAAACCAUAUGCAAUCCAAAUGUGCAUAUUUGUGAACAUCAUUGCCCUAGAGAAACACAGCUAACCACAACCACCGUAUAAUGAGCUGAGGAAUGUUGAUUGGGAAAAUCUCUAGUUAAAGGAUCAAAUUUAGAAUUCCUCUAUAUCUUUCGCACACUUGGCUGAAAACUGAGAAAUCCUAUGUUUUUGUUAAAUUUGUGUUGUAUACUCAUCUUCUUAUAAUGGAUGCCAUUAGUCUCAAAAGAAAUAUGAUUACAGUUAGAAACAUGAAUAUCAACAAUUAGAUUAGAUUGGUGUAAUGUUGUCUCUUGUGUAUAUGGCAUGA
Medicago truncatula (barrel medic) is the source of this 908-nucleotide long non-coding RNA. RefSeq lists it as uncharacterized. NCBI's taxonomy places the organism in Eukaryota, Viridiplantae, Streptophyta, Magnoliopsida, Fabales, Fabaceae. The transcript has 3 exons. The record is from RefSeq and is a predicted model, not a curated record.